UACGGAGGGUGCAAGCGUUAUCCGGAUUUACUGGGUUUAAAGGGUGUGUAGGCGGAUUAUUAAGUCAGCGGUGAAAUCUCCGGGCUCAACCCGGAAACUGCCAUUGAUACUAUUAGUCUUGAAUAUUGUUGAGGUGGGCGGAACGGGUCAUGUAGCGGUGAAAUGCAUAGAUAUGACCCGGAACACCGAUUGCGAAGGCAGCCCACUAAGCAAUGAUUGACACUGAGGCACGAAAGCGUGGGGAUCAAACAGG
Molecule: ribosomal RNA, 253 nt
Filed under: uncultured bacterium
Lineage: Bacteria
Description: partial 16S ribosomal RNA
Rfam family: Bacterial small subunit ribosomal RNA
Source: RNAcentral